UAGGGAAUCUUCCGCAAUGGACGCAAGUCUGACGGAGCAACGCCGCGUGAGUGAAGAAGGAUUUCGGUUCGUAAAACUCUGUUGUUAGAGAAGAACAGCGCAUAGAGUAACUGUUAUGCGUGUGACGGUAUCUAACCAGAAAGCCACGGCUAACUACGUGCCAGCAGCCGCGGUAAUACGUAGGUGGCAAGCGUUGUUCGGAUUUAUUGGGCGUAAAGCGAGCGCAGGCGGUCAAUUAAGUCUGAUGUGAAAGCCCCCGGCUCAACCGGGGAGGGUCAUUGGAAACUGGUUGACUUGAGUGCAGAAGAGGAGGGUGGAAUUCCAUGUGUAGCGGUGAAAUGCGUAGAUAUAUGGAGGAACACCAAUGGCGAAGGCGACUCUCUGGUCUGUAACUGACGCUGAGGUUCGAAAGCGUGGGUAGCAAACAGG
This 429-nucleotide ribosomal RNA is filed under the name Bacteroidota bacterium. RNAcentral's name for it is "Bacteroidetes bacterium partial 16S ribosomal RNA". It matches the Rfam family "Bacterial small subunit ribosomal RNA", at positions 355 to 776 of the family's 1533-position model. Lineage: Bacteria; Pseudomonadati; Bacteroidota. The record is from RNAcentral.